CCUACGGGAGGCAGCAGUAGGGAAUAUUGCUCAAUGGGGGAAACCCUGAAGCAGCAACGCCGCGUGGAGGAUGAAGGUUUUCGGAUUGUAAACUCCUUUUUUUAGAGAAGAUAAUGACGGUAUCUAACGAAUAAGCACCGGCUAACUCCGUAACAGCAGCCGCGUUAAUACGGAGGGUGCAAGCUUUACCCGGAAUUACUGGGCAUAAAGAGCGCGUAUGCGGGAUAGAAAGUCAGAUGUGAAAUCCUAUGGCUUAACCAUAGAACUGCAAUUGAAACUGUUAGUCUAGAGUAGGGGAGAGGUAGGUGGAAUUCGUGGUGUAGGGGUAAAAUGCGUAGAGAUCAAGAAGAAUACUGAUUGCGAAGGCGACCUGCUAGAACAUCACUGACGCUGAUGCGCGAAAGCGUGGGUAUCAAACAGGAUUAGAUACCCGAGUAGUC
This 440-nucleotide ribosomal RNA is filed under the name uncultured bacterium. RNAcentral describes it as "partial 16S ribosomal RNA". It matches the Rfam family "Bacterial small subunit ribosomal RNA", at positions 338 to 795 of the family's 1533-position model. The record is from RNAcentral.